RNAcentral lists this ribosomal RNA (466 nucleotides) under uncultured bacterium. Its description in RNAcentral is "partial 16S ribosomal RNA". It matches the Rfam family "Bacterial small subunit ribosomal RNA", at positions 28 to 507 of the family's 1533-position model. The record is from RNAcentral.
GAUGAACGCUGGCGGCGUGCUUAACACAUGCAAGUCGAACGAUGAAGCCCAGCUUGCUGGGUGGAUUAGUGGCGAACGGGUGAGUAACACGUGAGUAACCUGCCCUUAACUCUGGGAUAAGCCUGGGAAACUGGGUCUAAUACCGGAUAGGAGCGUCCACCGCAUGGUGGGUGUUGGAAAGAUUUAUCGGUUUUGGAUGGACUCGCGGCCUAUCAGCUUGUUGGUGAGGUAAUGGCUCACCAAGGCGACGACGGGUAGCCGGCCUGAGAGGGUGACCGGCCACACUGGGACUGAGACACGGCCCAGACUCCUACGGGAGGCAGCAGUGGGGAAUAUUGCACAAUGGGCGCAGGCCUGAUGCAGCGACGCCGCGUGAGGGAUGACGGCCUUCGGGUUGUAAACCUCUUUCAGUAGGGAAGAAGCAAAAGUGACGGUACCUGCAGAAGAAGCACCGGCUAACUACGUG